RNAcentral lists this long non-coding RNA (222 nucleotides) under Elaeis guineensis (African oil palm). RNAcentral's name for it is "long non-coding RNA (EGUI_LNC059092)". The record is from RNAcentral. Lineage: Eukaryota; Viridiplantae; Streptophyta; Magnoliopsida; Arecales; Arecaceae.
CUGGCUAGAUUUGGAAUCCAAUAGGUUACACACUUUAAAAUUUGAUAUUGAUUUGAUUUAAUUAGAGUUUAAUAUAAAUUUUAUGGGUUAAUUUGAUAUGCUAGCAUAUUGUAUUAACCCAAGUUUCUAAAUUGGUUUAGAUCAAAUUGUUUGAGCUAACCUACACUAAUUGCCUUUGAUCUAAUGGGAUUGGGUCAAUUUAGAUUGGAUCCUUAUCCAACU